UACGGGGGGGGCAAGCGUUGUUCGGAAUUACUGGGCGUAAAGGGCUCGUAGGCGGCCAACUAAGUCAGACGUGAAAUCCCCAGGCUCAACCUGGGAACUGCGUCUGAUACUGGAUGGCUUGAAUUCGGGAGAGGGAUGCAGAAUUCCAGGUGUAGCGGUGAAAUGCGUAGAUAUCUGGAGGAAUACCGGUGGCGAAGGCGGCAUCCUGGACCGGCAUUGACGCUGAGGCGCGAAAGCUAGGGGAGCAAACAGG
Molecule: ribosomal RNA, 253 nt
Filed under: uncultured bacterium
Lineage: Bacteria
Description: partial 16S ribosomal RNA
Rfam family: Bacterial small subunit ribosomal RNA
Source: RNAcentral